AUGCCUUAAACUGAUGAGUAAGGAAAAUAACGAUGCGGGGUGACGCCCGCGUCCUCGUGCUUACUCGCGAGAAGAAUUUUUGAACGGGUACAGGUCUGUCUGCUGAGGUGACUCGUUACUUCUCGAGAUGCCUCGCGGAACCGGGAUCUGCCCC
Molecule: small nuclear RNA, 154 nt
Organism: Ictalurus punctatus (channel catfish)
Lineage: Eukaryota; Metazoa; Chordata; Actinopteri; Siluriformes; Ictaluridae
Gene: U12
Rfam family: U12 minor spliceosomal RNA
About the family: Although the U12 sequence is very divergent from that of U2, the two are functionally analogous.
Source: Ensembl